Molecule: ribosomal RNA, 1472 nt
Filed under: uncultured Bordetella sp.
Lineage: Bacteria; Pseudomonadati; Pseudomonadota; Betaproteobacteria; Burkholderiales; Alcaligenaceae
Description: partial 16S-23S ribosomal RNA intergenic spacer
Rfam family: Bacterial small subunit ribosomal RNA
Source: RNAcentral
GGUUUGAUCAUGGCUCAGAUUGAACGCUGGCGGGAUGCUUUACACAUGCAAGUCGAACGGCAGCACGGACUUCGGUCUGGUGGCGAGUGGCGAACGGGUGAGUAAUGUAUCGGAACGUGCCUAGUAGCGGGGAUAAUUACGCGAGCGGUAGCUAAUACCGCAUACGCCCUUCGGGGAAAGCGGGGACCUUCGGGCCUCGCACUAUUAGAGCGGCCGAUAUCGGAUUAGCUAGUUGGUGGGGUAACGGCUCACCACAGCGACGAUCCGUAGCUGGUUUGAGAGGACGACCAGCCACACUGGGACUGAGACACGGCCCAGACUCUACGGGAGGCAGCAGGGGGAAUUUUGACAAUGGGGGAAACCCCGAUCCAGCCAUCCCGCGUGUGCGAUGAAGGCCUUCGGGUUGUAAAGCACUUUUGGCAGGUGAAAGAAACGGCACGGGAUAAUACCCCGUGCAACUGACGGUACUGCAGAAUAAGCACCGCUAACUACGUGCCAGCAGCCGCGGUAAUACGUAGGCAGCAAGCGUUAAUCGGAAUUACUGGGCGUAGCGUGCGCAGUAUGGUUCGGAAAGAAAGAUGUGAAAUCCCAGAGCUUAACUUUGGAACUGCAUUUUUAACUACCGAGCCAGAGUGGUGUCGAGUGGGAGGUGGAAUUCCGCGUGUAGCAGUGAAAUGCGUAGAUAUGCGGAGGAACACCGAUGGCGAAGGCAGCCUCCGGGAUAACACUGACGCUCAUGCACGAAAGCGUGGGGGAGCAAAACAGGAUUAGAAUUCUGGUAGUCCACGCCCUAAACGAUGUCAACUAGCUGUUGGGGCCUUCGGGCUCCUGUAGCGCAGCUAACGCGUGAAGCGACUGCCCGGGGAGUAUUGGUCGCAAGAUUAAAACUCAAAGGAAUUGACGGGACUCAAGCGGUAGGAUGAAGGGAUUAAUUUCGAUGCAACGCGAAAACCUUACCUACCUUUGACAUGUCUGGAAUCCCAAGAGAUUUUGGGAGUGCUCGCAAGAGAACCGGAACACAGGUGCUGCAUGGCUGUCGUCAGCUCGUGUCGUGAGAUGUUGGGUUAAGUCUCAGUAACGAGCGCAGUUCCUAUUACAAUAGCGCGAAAGGCACUUAAUGAGACCGCUAUGACAAACCGAGGAAGGUGGGGAUGACGUCAAGUCCUCAUGGCCCUUAUGGGUAGGAUUCGACACGUCAUGUAUACCAGCCGGGACAGAGGGUCGCCAACCCGCGAGGGGGAGCUAAUCCCCAGAAACCCGAUCGUAGUCCGGAUCGCAGUCUGCAACUCGACUGCGUGAAGUCAGAAUCGCUGUAAUCGCGGAUCAGCAUGUCGCGGUGAAUACGUUCCCGGCCUUGUACACACCGCCCGUCACACCAUGGGAGUGGGUUUACCAGAAGUAGUUAGUCAACCGUGGCGAGGGCGAUUACCACGGAUCUGGGUGACUGGGGUGAAGUCGUAAAUGUAAGGUAG